RNAcentral lists this unclassified non-coding RNA (377 nucleotides) under uncultured bacterium. Its description in RNAcentral is "contains 16S-23S intergenic spacer region". The record is from RNAcentral.
UCCGGUUUAACACCGGCAGUCUCCAUAGAGUGCCCAACUGAAUGAUGGCAACUAGGGAUAAGGGUUGCGCUCGUUAAGGGACUUAACCCGACAUCUCACGAUACGAGCUGACGACAGCCAUGCAGCACCUGUCUCCUUGCCCCCGAAGGGGAAACGGUACUUCUACCGCGGUCAAGGGAUGUCAAACCCAGGUAAGGUUCUUCGCGUAGCAUCGAAUUAAACCACAUGCUCCACCGCUUGUGCGGGCCCCCGUCAAUUCCUUUGAGUUUCAGCCUUGCGGCCGUACUCCCCAGGCGGGGCACUUAAUGCGUUAGCGCCGGCACCCAGGGGGUCGCUCCCCCAGGCACCUAGUGCCCAUCGUUUACGGCGUGGACUAC